UUCCAGGACUGUUUACCAAUAAGCCUGAAAAUAACUUUUUAUUUGUCGAUGUAUCCUCCCAUAACUCGAUAUUCUUUGACCACUUAGGUUGGCACUUCGUCUGUGGUGUAUCCUGCAGCAAUGUUUGCUCCUCAGGUGGCUGCAAGAGGUGUACCUGUGGCCGAGUUCAACAUGGAAAACACACCUGCCACAAUGCGUUUCAGGUUUCACUUUCAUGGACCCUGUGGGACCACCUUGCCCCCUGCACUAAGUCCCCCAAAACAACAAUGAAAACCAGAUCACUAAUCACAGAAAAGACUGGCAAAUAAUUACCAAACAUAUUUAUUUAACCAGAGCCCAGUAUGAGUAAUAAUGAUGGAGAGGUUAUUCUGUAUUAAACAGGUAUCAAACAGGACCUUUGUAAUGCAAUGUAAUAUAUAUUUUUAAUACAGGUAUGUACAUUUGUCAGACACAACAUUAGAUUUGACUGCAUAAUCUACUUUACAUACACAGCUCUUUAGUCACAUUACCGUGGUAAAUAUUAAAGUAGGAUGUACUAAUACUACUGCACUACUACAAACAACUGCAAUAAUAAACAUUUCGUUAAAUAAAUGCACAGUUCAAGCAAAAUUCAAGCAAUUUUGUAAUUGAUAAAGGUUGAAUUUGUCAUAAAAUCUUUAGUAUGGCACACAUCUUCGGGUGUAACCAUGAAAGUGUGAGGUGUGUGUGUAUUGCAGUACUGUUCAGUCAAAUUUUAUUGAUUGUGUUCCAGCAGGGGGCAGUGUUAAGCCACUGCCUAUGUUUAAAGUCCAGUUCUUACAUGUGAGGGAAUAACUUUUUUCCUUCUGGUAGAAAUUCAAGCACUAGCUUGUAAAUAUGGUGUCUGGUAAAUGUACCGUAAGGGAGAAAGACAUGUUCUGUUUGACCUAGGAAGGAAUUUGUAAAUAACAAAGACAUUUACAAUGAAAACCCAAUAUAAAAUGA
This is a long non-coding RNA of Nerophis ophidion (straightnose pipefish), 963 nucleotides long. RefSeq lists it as uncharacterized. The record is from RefSeq and is a predicted model, not a curated record. The transcript has 2 exons. Lineage: Eukaryota; Metazoa; Chordata; Actinopteri; Syngnathiformes; Syngnathidae.